CCAUGAUCGAAUGUAGAGCCGGAGUUAUCAAGAAUGACAGAAUUUAAAAUAAAAUAAUUCAAUAUCUUUCUGCAUUAGUUUUUAAAGUAUAAUAUGAACGAGUCUAGAAGUUUGUACCUUGUAAAGUUAUCUCUGAAGGCAGCGCAGAACAUUUGUUUUCAUACGGCGUUAUAUUGCCGCUUGACGGAAAUAGACUUCAAAUAUAGAAAUAACUAAAUCGUUAUGUUCGGUUUUAAAACGGCUGUACACUGUUAUCGAAAUAUACUUUCAUGCCAUUCUGCAUUAGCGUAAGGAAAAUUGAACUAAGCAAUGCAGACGUUCUUAACUUGUGCGGCAUCCUCUGUAGGACGAGCCGAACAUAUGUGUCAUUAUAACGCCGCCAUAUGAAAACUUGAAAGACCCAGACAGUUGUUGCACUUGCGG
Molecule: non-coding RNA, 423 nt
Organism: Paramuricea clavata
Lineage: Eukaryota; Metazoa; Cnidaria; Anthozoa; Malacalcyonacea; Plexauridae
Source: the annotation of a GenBank genome assembly